UACGGAGGGUGCGAGCGUUGCUCGGAAUUAUUGGGCGUAAAGCGCGUGUAGGCGGCCUUUUAAGUCUGAUGUGAAAGCCCCGGGCUCAACCUGGGAAGUGCAUUGGAAACUGGAAGGCUUGAGUACGGGAGAGGGUAGUGGAAUUCCGAGUGUAGGGGUGAAAUCCGUAGAUAUUCGGAGGAACACCGGUGGCGAAGGCGGCUACCUGGACCGAUACUGACGCUGAGACGCGAAAGCGUGGGGAGCAAACAGGAUUAGAUACCCUGGUAGUCCACGCCGUAAACGAUGGGUACUAGGUGUCGCGGGUAUUGACCCCUGCGGUGCCGAAGCUAACGCAUUAAGUACCCCGCCUGGGGAGUACGGCCGCAAGGCUAAA
Molecule: ribosomal RNA, 376 nt
Filed under: uncultured bacterium
Lineage: Bacteria
Description: bacterial SSU rRNA
Rfam family: Bacterial small subunit ribosomal RNA
Source: RNAcentral